UGAUAAGUUACAUCAUUGGUUCUAGUUGUAGUCCACUUCGUUUACUCAUCAUAAGUAGAGACAUUUGGCCUGGGCUCAAAAUCUCCCUUUGCAAAGUCAUUUCUUUCCUUAGCAUAGAUGUCAUCAUUUUCAUAAGCUGAAACAUUAGGUCUUGGUUCAAAAUCUUUUAUGGUUUUGCUUUUUUCCUUCACAUUAACCUUAUUAUCACCAUAAGCUGAAACAUUGGGUCUUGGUUCAAAAUCUUUCAUGGCUUUGCUUUUUUCUUUCACAUCAACUUCAUUAUCACCAUAAGUUGAAACAUUGGGUCUUGGUUCAAAAUCUUGCAUGGCUUUGUUUUUUUCUCUCAUAUCAACCUCAUUGUCACCAUAAGCUGAAACAUUAGGUCUUGGUUCAAAAUCUUUCAUGGUUUUGCUUUUUUCUUUCACAUCAACUUCAUUAUCACCAUAAGCUGAAACAUUAGGUCUUGGUUCAAAAUCUUUCAUGGCUUUAUUUUUUUCCCUCACAUCAACCUCAUUGUUACCAUAGACUGAAACAUUAGGUCUUGGUUCAAAAUCUUCCAUACCUUUUUUUUCCAUAUUUUUUUUCUUUUCCAUGCAAUCAAUAUCAUUGUGAUCGGGACUUGCUUCAAGAUUUUUCACAACUUUCUUCUUUGACUUAACAUCAAUGUCAUGGUUUCUAUAGUUUACGGCAUUAGAUUUCACAUCAAAGUUUUUUAGAACUUUAAAUUCUUCCGGCACAUCCUGAU
Molecule: long non-coding RNA, 745 nt
Filed under: Phaseolus vulgaris (common bean)
Lineage: Eukaryota; Viridiplantae; Streptophyta; Magnoliopsida; Fabales; Fabaceae
Description: long non-coding RNA (PVUL_LNC001030)
Source: RNAcentral